RNAcentral lists this ribosomal RNA (882 nucleotides) under uncultured bacterium. RNAcentral describes it as "bacterial SSU rRNA". It matches the Rfam family "Bacterial small subunit ribosomal RNA", at positions 1 to 924 of the family's 1533-position model. The record is from RNAcentral.
GCCCUUAGAGUUUGAUCCUGGCUCAGGAUGAACGCUGGCGGUAUGCUUUACACAUGCAAGUCGUACGAGAGUUUUUAACUCAAGUGGCGGACGGGUGAGUAACACGUAAGAAUUUGCCUUUAGGAGGGGGAUAACAACUGGAAACGGUUGCUAAUACCCCAUAUGCUUUCGAGUAAAAUGGAUUUUCCGCCUAAAGAGAAGCUUGCGGCUGAUUAGCUUGUUGGUGAGGUAAUGGCUCACCAAGGCGACGAUCAGUAUCUGGUUUGAGAGGACGAUCAGACACACUGGAACUGAGACACGGUCCAGACUCCUACGGGAGGCAGCAGUGGGGAAUUUUCCGCAAUGGGCGAAAGCCUGACGGAGCAAUACCGCGUGAGGGAUGACGGCCUAUGGGUUGUAAACCUCUUUUUUCAGGGAGGAAUCAAUGACGUGUACCUGAAGAAUAAGCAUCGGCUAACUCCGUGCCAGCAGCCGCGGUAAGACGGAGGAUGCAAGUGUUAUCCGGAAUCACUGGGCGUAAAGCGUCUGUAGGUGGUCAAAUAAGUCAACUGUUAAAUCUUGAGGCUCAACCUCAAGAUCGCAGUCGAAACUAUUCGACUAGAGUAUAGUAGGGGUAAAGGGAAUUUCCAGUGGAGCGGUGAAAUGCGUAGAGAUUGGAAAGAACACCGAUGGCGAAGGCACUUUACUGGGCUAUUACUAACACUGAGAGACGAAAGCUAGGGUAGCAAAUGGGAUUGGAUACCCCAGUAGUCCUAGCCGUAAACAAUGGAUACUAGAUGUUGAACAGAUCGACCUGUGCAGUAUCAAAGCUAACGCGUUAAGUAUCCCGCCUGGGAAGUAUGCUCGCAAGAGUGAAACUCAAAUGAAUUGACGGGGAAGGGC